Molecule: long non-coding RNA, 2104 nt
Organism: Triticum aestivum (bread wheat)
Lineage: Eukaryota; Viridiplantae; Streptophyta; Magnoliopsida; Poales; Poaceae
Exons: 9
Source: RefSeq, a predicted model, not a curated record
GCACUCCUCCUCGUCAGUCACCGCCUGGUCUUCUCGAUGGAGGUGGAGGAGUAGGGGAUCCCGCCGGAUCAGAGGCAUGCGGGCACAGUGGUGGGCGUCUCCGGCAGCGGCGGCGACCUGCAGGCCAAGUGCUACGGCGGGGGCGCUCGAUUUAAUGCAGCGCCAUGGACCGGUCCCUGCAGAAGUGAGAGAAGAUGAGGGAGAGAGAGAAGGAAGGAGAGGAGGGAGAAAGGUAGAGGAAAGAGGAGAGGGAGCUGCAGUGGCGGAUGGGCCGCAGCAGCAAAGUGGCAGAAGGGUCCGGGCUGCAUCGAUGGUGGUCCGAGCGCUGCCGCCUCCAUCCUCGCACCAUCUUCGUCACACUCAGCCGCCUCCUUCCGCACCCCUCUUCUUCGCGCACGGCAACAGAGUCAGGUCCUGUCAGGGAAUAAUAUUAUUCAGUUAGCAUCUUUUUCGUGGAAGAGGAGUGAGAAUUUAAAGGUGCAUGCUACAUAGAAGCUUAGAUCUGUAAUCAAGCUGUGGAAGAAAGUACUGUAAGAGAUACUUCUAUAAGCAGAGGUUGUUGAUUGAUAUGCAGACUUGUUGUUUUUCAUUCAGUUGAAGAGCUCUCCAUGCUUAAGAUCUUUUCUAGGAUAAUUGCGUCGUUAAAUCUGAAGGAUUCGCUCAUGUGCCAAAGCCAGCUCGGGGAAGCCUUCCUGGACUCCUGGUUGACCACGACAAUCACGACAUGGUGAGUGGAUUUUGUCUUUCUUGAGCCAUCGGAUCGGAUUAGAUGUGUAUAUGGUAGUUAUGGACUGCUGACUGCUUAAUGUUGUGUUUCCUCUGUGUACUAUGGUGUGAGCUUAAGCGAGCGGAACGCCGAAGGAGGAUCUUGGGGAUGACGGAGGCAUCGACGACAACCUGAAAGGCGAGAGUGUGGGUUCAGAAGUGAGGAAAACAAUUUGGCUUGCAGGGUUCAGGCUACUCUCUUGUGACGUUGGCUUAGGAAAAGUUAUUCGGCUCCAUUUAUGAUUGGGUCAUUUCGCCGUGCUCUAGCCCCGCAUCGUCCCCUCCUCCUUGGUUGCCGCUCUCGUCCUCUGACGAAGGACCAUGGGGCUUGCAGCUGUGCCUGAGCCCCCACAAGGACGUUGGGUGGAGGAUAUCCGGUGCCAACGGGCCGCUCAUGUCGGUGUCCGAGAUCUCGGAGCCGUCGGAGUCCCCGUCACCAUCCGGAGACGGGUCGAUGGGGGAUGCUAUGAUGAAUUGGCCCGUGGAUAAGAAUAUUUUAGUCACUGGAGAGAUUGUUGAACAUGUGACAUUGAUGCAAAUCUCUGGCCACCUACGAGUGAAACUGCUUGAAGACCAAGUUUGAAUAUGGACGAGGGCAGUGAAUUUCGGCAUGCGAGUUUACUUGCAGUCUCUGACCCUAACGUAAUCAGUCCGAGUAGUGAGGGAAAGGCGCUGCCAACGAGGAUGUGGAGGAGAACAAGGUCGAGCCGGAUUGGUGAAGGGUGUUGAGGCUGGCUCUCUCUCCUCGUCUUCAACAGUGUGAAGAAGAUCGAUGUUGAAAUGGACGCAUGCUUCAGGAGAAGCAGAGGCGUCUUGUGAGCCUUGUGUUCUUCAUCGAUCUGUUUGUGCGUGCUCUUGGUCGCAUGCAUGCCUAAGGAUCGAUGGAUGGGAGGUGGGACACGAUUUUGUGUGGACACCUCUGUAUGCUCCAAGACUUAACUCUGUUGAUUUAUGGCAUGGUGAUUCGUGAUUGAUUUCGAUUGCACGGGAAUUCUAGGGAGAGUAGUGGAAAAGCUAUGGGGAACUUCUGUGUUAACGGUGCUAGCAGUGAGGGUUUCUUUUGAGCUUCUCUUCGCUUCUCCUUAAUAAUCGGACCUUCCUGCUAUGCAUAGUGAAUUUUGAUAUUUUGAUGAUGCAAGCAUUGUUGUUUCUAGUGGCUGCAAGGAUUUCCUUUGGGCAUAUUUUCUUCUAGCUUAAUUAGCCAGGAUUGUUGAUUUUAUAAACAAUAUUCAGACUGUUCCUUGUAUUAGCAAAAAUCAGAUAAGAAUUGAAUUAUUGUACUUAAAGACAACCUGAAUGUCUUGUGCCAUGCAAAAGAGAUGCUCUGCAUUUCCUUUCA